This 741-nucleotide ribosomal RNA is filed under the name Bacillus sp. (in: firmicutes). RNAcentral describes it as "bacterial SSU rRNA". It matches the Rfam family "Bacterial small subunit ribosomal RNA", at positions 68 to 789 of the family's 1533-position model. The record is from RNAcentral. Lineage: Bacteria; Bacillati; Bacillota; Bacilli; Caryophanales; Bacillaceae.
GAAUGGAUUAAGAGCUUGCUCUUAUGAAGUUAGCGGCGGACGGGUGAGUAACACGUGGGUAACCUACCCAUAAGACUGGGAUAACUCCGGGAAACCGGGGCUAAUACCGGAUAAUAUUUUGAACUGCAUAGUUCGAAAUUGAAAGGCGGCUUCGGCUGUCACUUAUGGAUGGACCCGCGUCGCAUUAGCUAGUUGGUGAGGUAACGGCUCACCAAGGCGACGAUGCGUAGCCGACCUGAGAGGGUGAUCGGCCACACUGGGACUGAGACACGGCCCAGACUCCUACGGGAGGCAGCAGUAGGGAAUCUUCCGCAAUGGACGAAAGUCUGACGGAGCAACGCCGCGUGAGUGAUGAAGGCUUUCGGGUCGUAAAACUCUGUUGUUAGGGAAGAACAAGUGCUAGUUGAAUAAGCUGGCACCUUGACGGUACCUAACCAGAAAGCCACGGCUAACUACGUGCCAGCAGCCGCGGUAAUACGUAGGUGGCAAGCGUUAUCCGGAAUUAUUGGGCGUAAAGCGCGCGCAGGUGGUUUCUUAAGUCUGAUGUGAAAGCCCACGGCUCAACCGUGGAGGGUCAUUGGAAACUGGGAGACUUGAGUGCAGAAGAGGAAAGUGGAAUUCCAUGUGUAGCGGUGAAAUGCGUAGAGAUAUGGAGGAACACCAGUGGCGAAGGCGACUUUCUGGUCUGUAACUGACACUGAGGCGCGAAAGCGUGGGGAGCAAACAGGAUUAGAUACCCUG